UCGGACGCAGUUGUCAACAAUCAAAACAGCCGCCAUAUUUUGCCUCUUGUUGUAACGCUCCUGGGCUUCCUCCUUCACCUUCCCCUCUGGUAUGCCUAGGAGAUCAAAAUAAGGAUAGAUAUCAGUGUAGAGAGGAUAGGAUGCACACCUCUAACCCAUCGCCUUGUUUUGUGUCACGUUUAGUUAUGGAUCGUGAGUAUGAGAGGCGUCUUCUCAGGCAACAAAAUGGACCUGUCUCAUCACCAGCAUCACCAUUGUCACCCCGACGCCAGCUGGCCCACAUUUCAGUGCAAUCCCCCAGCAAAGACCGCACUGGGGACAGAUUCAUCCCCACACGAGUAGGUGCCAACUGGGAUGUUAACUUUGCUCUGAUUCAGGAGAACAACAAAGCCAACAGUGAGGUGCGGAAAGGGCGUGAGGGAGGAGAAGGCAAGGAUGGAGUAGCCUACACAACUCUACUGAGGAAUGAACUCUUGGGCACAAGCAUUGAGGAUCUUCGAGACACUCCUGAUGAAAGAAGAGCGCUGUCACCUGUUCAGAGUCCCAACUUGUACCAUUUCUCUCCUCGCAAAAAUCAGCAGCGGGAGGACACACUGUCACCCUAUUCCCUCUCCCCUGUUAGUGCCAAGAGCCAAAAACUGCUGAGAUCCCCAAGGAAGGCAGCACGCAAAAUAUCAAAGAUACCAUUUAAGGUACUUGAUGCUCCAGAGUUACAGGAUGACUUUUACCUCAACCUGGUGGACUGGAGCUCUCAAAAUGUUCUCUCUGUAGGAUUAGGUCACUGUGUGUACUUGUGGUCAGCAUACACCUCACAGGUCACUCGGCUGUGUGACCUUUCCCCCGAUGGUGACACAGUGACCUCAGUGUCUUGGUCAGAAAGGGGCAACCAGGUGGCAGUAGGCACACACAAAGGGUUGGUGCAGGUAUGGGACGUGGCCAGCAGCAAGCGAGUGUGCAUUCUGAACGGUCACACAGCUCGUGUUGGAGCACUGGCGUGGAAUGGGGAUGUCCUAUCCUCAGGUUCCCGGGACAGACUAAUCCUUCAACGUGAUGUAAGGACUCCCUGCAUCAUCCCAGAUCGCAGGCUAGCUGGACACCGGCAGGAAGUGUGUGGGCUAAAGUGGUCACCGGACAGCCAAUACCUGGCCUCAGGUGGGAAUGACAACAAGUUAUUUGUGUGGAAUCUUCACUCUCUCACAGCUGUUCAGACGUACACUGAGCACAAUGCAGCAGUAAAAGCUAUUGCUUGGUCACCACACCACCAUGGGCUGUUGGCUAGUGGUGGUGGAACAGCUGAUCGCUGCAUACGUUUCUGGAACACCUUGACAGGACAACCGAUGCAGUGCAUUGACACUGGAUCUCAAGUUUGCAAUCUGGCAUGGUCCAAACACGCAUCAGAACUGGUAUCCACUCAUGGAUAUAGUCAGAACCAGAUCUUGGUGUGGCGUUACCCACUCCUUGCCCAGGUGGCCAAGCUUACCGGCCACACGUACCGGGUGCUGUACCUUGCCAUGUCGCCAGAUGGGGAGGCUAUUGUUACUGGUGCUGGGGAUGAGACUCUGCGCUUCUGGAAUGUCUUCAGUAAAGCACGCUCUCAGAAGGAAUCCAAGUCUGCACUCAACCUCUUCACAUCUCUGCGAUAACUGAAGGAGGAGAGGAGGAGGAGGAGGAGGAGGGAGGAAGAGGAGAAGGAGGAGGAGGUAACAGUGGUGGUGGUGACAGCAGCAAAAGAGGCUGCUAGUUUCAUGUUUGUACAUACUGGGGCAUCAGGUGACUGCUUUGUAAACAGUCAAAUUUUUCAUAAAUAUAUAUGUAUGUAUAUUUAUCAGAUGUAUUAUAAUGUAUAUACUUUAAGUAUGUUGUACAUCAUUGUUCUUUCUACAUCAUCUUAGAAUAACUAACUUCUUUUACAAAUGCUUCAUAUUUGUACUAUUGUUUUAGCUAUAUUAAUUUUUCUAUGUUUAUCACGAAACACUUCGUCACUUUUUUUUUUUUUUUUUUUUUUUUUUUUUGUGUGUGUGUGUGUGUGUGUGUGUGUGUGUGUGUGUGUGUAAAGUGAAUGUUCAUCUCACACUGAUCUUCUCAGGUAUGAGGACAUGUUAUCAGUAUCAUUACACAGACUGACAGUAAACAGUGCCCAAAUGUUCAAAGUAUUGAUUGGUGUUUGAGAACACAUAGAGGCAUUUCCAUAGAGGCUCCUCAGACUAUGAUCUGCAAAAUGUAAACAAUAGGUCUGAAUUGCAACAUAUGUUUCUUUCAUUGUACAACUCUAGUGUGUGAAAUUUUUUAAUUCUAUAUUUACUGGCCAGGGGAAAGAAGAGGGCAUGAAAAGCACACUGUAUACAUGCACAUUGCCUAUUGCAUUCUCUGACUUACCUAGGGAAAAGAAGAAAAUUACAGGAGUAUAGUCCUAGGUAUUUGUUGUUUGAGACAUAGGGCAUAGCAGAUUGUGGAAUGAAGUGCCUCAUGUGGCAUUGUUUUUGUCAGUAACCAAAAGACUUAAUAGCAGCUGUAGCUAUAUUUUGUGAGUAAUUUUUUGUUCUCUAUUUUUAAUCCCUUUAAUAUGAACAUUUCCUUGUUCGGUAAUCUGCCUCUUCAUAUAGUAUGGUCUUGUGUGUGUGUGUGUGUGUGUGUGUGUGUGUGUGUGUGUGUGUGUA
RNAcentral lists this unclassified non-coding RNA (2657 nucleotides) under Portunus trituberculatus (swimming crab). RNAcentral describes it as "fizzy-related protein homolog, transcript variant X3". Lineage: Eukaryota; Metazoa; Arthropoda; Malacostraca; Decapoda; Portunidae. The record is from RNAcentral.